UUGGGAGUGCGCUCAAAGGAUACAAACAAGGAUUCGCAAAUAAAAAGGGGAAUUCGUAGUCACUUUUCCAUGUCACAUAAAAAAAGUUAUUUACGCAAGAGCAAUAGAGGUUGGGAUACAUCUGUCUCUUUUGAGAAACCUCUUUUUGAUUCUUAA
Molecule: ribosomal RNA, 156 nt
Filed under: Triticum aestivum (bread wheat)
Lineage: Eukaryota; Viridiplantae; Streptophyta; Magnoliopsida; Poales; Poaceae
Description: partial small subunit ribosomal RNA
Source: RNAcentral